RNAcentral lists this ribosomal RNA (406 nucleotides) under uncultured bacterium. Its description in RNAcentral is "partial 16S ribosomal RNA". It matches the Rfam family "Bacterial small subunit ribosomal RNA", at positions 30 to 526 of the family's 1533-position model. The record is from RNAcentral.
AUUGAACGCUGGCGGCAGGCCUAACACAUGCAAGUCGAGCGAGCGGCGGACGGGUGUGGAAUGUCUGGGAAACUGCCUGAUGGAGGGGGAUAACUACUGGAAACGGUAGCUAAUACCGCAUCCCAUCAGAGGUGCCCAGAUGGGAUUAGCUAGUAGGUGGGGUAAUGGCUCACCUGGGCGACGAUCCCUAGCUGGUCUGAGAGGAUGACCAGCCACACGGGAACUUAGACACGGUCCAUACUCCUACGGUAGGCAGCAGUGGGGAAGAUUGCACAAUGGGCGCAAGCCUGAUGCAGCCAUGCCGCGUGUGUUAAGAAGGCCUUCGGGUUGUAAAGCACUUUCAGCGAGGAGGCGUUACUCGCAGAAGAAGCACCGGCUAACUCCGUGCCAGCAGCCGCGGUAAUUC